Molecule: transfer RNA, 69 nt
Filed under: Paralvinella hessleri
Lineage: Eukaryota; Metazoa; Annelida; Polychaeta; Terebellida; Alvinellidae
Description: tRNA-His
Source: RNAcentral
AUUGAAGUAGUUUAUUUAAAACCUUGACCUGUGGCCUCAAAAAUGCGAUCUAUUAAUUCGCCUUCAAUC